UCACGCAUCCCAUCGACACGAUAGGGAAGGUCUGGGACAGUGUCCAUUGGGGCUUUGGUGCGGCAAAGGAUGCGUCGGAAGAAUUCAUGGCGGCGCGCCGGGAGCGACAAGAAAACUUGAUUUAGU
This 126-nucleotide non-coding RNA is filed under the name Pseudo-nitzschia australis. The record is from RNAcentral. Lineage: Eukaryota; Bacillariophyta; Bacillariophyceae; Bacillariales; Bacillariaceae.